This 273-nucleotide long non-coding RNA is filed under the name Homo sapiens (human). RNAcentral's name for it is "HSALNT0201380". The record is from RNAcentral. Lineage: Eukaryota; Metazoa; Chordata; Mammalia; Primates; Hominidae.
UGGCAGCUGUACCCUCUCGGCCCACUGGGGUGGCAGCCCCAAACCUCUCAGUCCAAGGAGGCGCUGUUGGAUAGGGCUCUGCAUCUGUGGCUCUUUCUUCAGGGAAGAAAAAUGGAACUAAAAAGGGAAAACAAUAGCAACAAAGAUCAAAAUAAAUAACAAGGAAGCGGAGAGAAGAAAGAACAUGGUGAAGAGAGUGAAACGCAUUGUCAUUUGGGGUGAAUUGCAGAAAGAAAUAAAUUAUUGUUCUUAUAUAUAAGUGAGAUCAUGCAG